UCUAAAGUUCAGUGGUCGACUUUGCAUUUUACCCAAGUUUUUUAUAUUUUCACCUGGACCAUUUUCUCAUGUGAAAGAGAACUUUCUUUUAUUUUUGAUUUGGGUAAAAUGCAUAUGUUGCCCCUGAAUUUUAGAAAUUUUUGGACAUUGAACCCAUUUCUUUUGGUCAACCCAAAUCGAGCCCCUUUUUGUUAAAAAAAUUGGAUAUUGAGCCCCCAAGUGCGGUGAUCUGCCUACGCGUCACCGCUGACGUGUACUUUUUCAAAAUUAAUUCUCAAAAAUAUGUUACU
RNAcentral lists this long non-coding RNA (290 nucleotides) under Panax ginseng (ginseng). RNAcentral describes it as "long non-coding RNA (PGIN_LNC013566)". Lineage: Eukaryota; Viridiplantae; Streptophyta; Magnoliopsida; Apiales; Araliaceae. The record is from RNAcentral.